AGAGUUUGAUCCUGGCUCAGGAUGAACGCUAGCUACAGGCUUAACACAUGCAAGUCGAGGGGAAACGAUAGAGAAAGCUUGCUUUUUCUAGGCGUCGACCGGCGCACGGGUGAGUAACGCGUAUCCAACCUGCCCACCACUUGGGGAUAACCUUGCGAAAGUAAGACUAAUACCCAAUGAUAUCUCAAGAAGACAUCUGAAUGAGAUUAAAGAUUUAUCGGUGAUGGAUGGGGAUGCGUCUGAUUAGCUUGUUGGCGGGGUAACGGCCCACCAAGGCGACGAUCAGUAGGGGUUCUGAGAGGAAGGUCCCCCACAUUGGAACUGAGACACGGUCCAAACUCCUACGGGAGGCAGCAGUGAGGAAUAUUGGUCAAUGGACGAGAGUCUGAACCAGCCAAGUAGCGUGCAGGAUGACGGCCCUAUGGGUUGUAAACUGCUUUUAUAAGGGAAUAAAGUGAGUCUCGUGAGACUUUUUGCAUGUACCUUAUGAAUAAGGACCGGCUAAUUCCGUGCCAGCAGCCGCGGUAAUACGGAAGGUCCGGGCGUUAUCCGGAUUUAUUGGGUUUAAAGGGAGCGUAGGCCGGAGAUUAAGCGUGUUGUGAAAUGUAGAUGCUCAACAUCUGCACUGCAGCGCGAACUGGUUUCCUUGAGUACGCACAAAGUGGGCGGAAUUCGUGGUGUAGCGGUGAAAUGCUUAGAUAUCACGAAGAACUCCGAUUGCGAAGGCAGCUCACUGGAGCGCAACUGACGCUGAAGCUCGAAAGUGCGGGUAUCGAACAGGAUUAGAUACCCUGGUAGUCCGCACGGUAAACGAUGGAUGCCCGCUGUUGGUCUGAAUAGGUCAGCGGCCAAGCGAAAGCAUUAAGCAUCCCACCUGGGGAGUACGCCGGCAACGGUGAA
Molecule: ribosomal RNA, 900 nt
Filed under: uncultured bacterium
Lineage: Bacteria
Description: bacterial SSU rRNA
Rfam family: Bacterial small subunit ribosomal RNA
Source: RNAcentral